AAAAAAAAAAAGAGGUAGAAAUCAGUAAUUAUUUGGCCACUCCUCUUAUUUGGCAUGAAAAAUGUUUGACCGUUUUUUCUUUUGCCUGAAAAAAAAAACGCUUCAGUGUUCUGGAUGUGUGUAAAAUUUGGUCGAGAGAUUACACCCGAAGAGCUCUAAAAAUACAAUGCUCCAGAAUGUCUGUUUUUUUUAAGCUGUUGGGAGCGUCUAAAGUUCCUGGGAUGUUUUUUCUCUAUGAAUUCUUACACGCACUUGAAACGUCUAGGCAUCCUCCUUAAUUACAGAAAGAAAUUAUUUGAUGUCUUUUCAGAUUUACUGUUUUGAGAUGUGUGCUCCGGAAGCAAUUUUUGCCUACUAACCUGGCUAUGGAUUAACCGCAGCCAUGGUAAAAAAAAGCUAUUAUAAAGGGACCUAUGUAACUUCAUGCAUUGAUGCACGUCAAAUGUUGAAAUUUCAUUCCUCACCGAUUCAUGAUGGCAAACACAUAUAUACCCACUCUUAAAAUACCUGGUAGCGGAAUGGUAAAAUAAUUUAGUUAUCCAAACAUUCAUGGAAAUGGUAGAAUAAUAACUGCCCCUGUCCCCAAAUUGAUGGUGUAUAAGCUGAGUAAAAAAUCCAAUGAUUUUUAAGUUUGGCCAAGCAUAUAUAGAAAUAUGAGGGGAAAAAUACCAAAUCAAAAUUAAUAUAUCCAUUGUUUGAUAUAUUUUCCUAAUAUAUAUACUCAAUGUUGUAGUUGUUGAUAGUUUCUUAUAUAUAUUUUGGUUGAACUUAGAUAUAGUUGGCUUUUUAACUGAAUUUAUACGCCAUAUUUGGUGACAAGGGGGUACCUUCUCAGAAAUGAAGAAAAAAGGUUAUCUGGAAUAUUCUUUCCUCUCCUUGUAGAGCAGCCCACCAUCUACCUUACAUGGCCCUCCAUACAUGGACUUCAGGGCUGAACUAUGGGCUUAUCUUGGCUAGUUGCCAGCACAAAAUUCUCUCUCCCCUGAAAAAGAGCAAAGGAUUCUCUCUGCAAAAGGAAAAAAGAAACCAACAAUGAACUGAUAUACUUUUUUCACAAGGACAUAUGAUUUAUUUUACUGACCCAGAACCCACCAAGGCGUCGAACAAACAACACACCAAAAUCUCAUACGAGAACUGCGAAUGCAGCUAUGAAAGGCGUAUCAAGAAAUAAAUCCAAAGGUUUUUUUUUUCUUCAAUACGACAGGUUUCCAUCAUUGCGAUAAGGGAACAACCUGACCCGACUCUUGGUCUUAAUCACACCGAAGAUCUAAGCAAAUGUUCUGACAAUAGAUGGUGGCACCCGACAUUGCUCCUCUUGUAGCUUCGCUCUUGUUGAAAAGAUGGCAUGCCCUGGAGCAAAAUACUCUAAAUCCCUUGUGCGGUUUGGAGUAAACUUCAUCUAUGUGAUGAUAUCAAAGCUAGAUAGUAGUAUUUACACUCACCAUGCAAGGCACUGGUCAUCGAGAAACUCGGUCUAGUACACAUGGAGAUCGCCGUCGAUUGAUCACGUCGAACAUAUGGCAAGGGCGAGGAAGGCAAAGCCUCAGACACAACCUAGCACGCCGACGCACACACUUAAUCUAUGAAUCGCUCUUUUAAGUUUACCAACAUUGUACUCUAGUAUGUCCCAUGUCAAGAUAUUAUUAUUGUUAGACCCAUGCCUAUAUUUAGAUGCCGGUAUUGUAUCCUAGUGGACUUUGGUGGCUUGGUCACUUGAAUAGUGUGUGCACGGUUUUAGUCCGCAUGGCCGUGUCCACGUCUGGAUCGCGUGCACUAGAAUCAUCUUGGUUUGCUCAACACCGGCUCGGGAUGGAUUAUUGCUGCUCUUUCUCUUCUCUUCUCUUUUUGAUUUACAUCUGCCUUGGCAUAUCCUCGGUCUUGUUUGACUUUGCUAGUCGCCAGAGUGAUUUUUGUGUGUGUGCGUGCGUGUUCGUGUGGAUUGUGUGCAUCCUAACUAUGUAGAGACCGGAUUUGUGCUCUUUGUGUUUGUAUCUUCUUGAUGCUUCAUUUUUGAGCUAAUAAAAUCCACCCUUUGUCAAAAAAUCCUAACGCUCCUUUGCCAGUCUACCAAGACAUAUAGAUAUUUGCAUGACACUAGAUAUAUAAAUAUUUCAAACUAAAAUCACCAUUGAAAAAUAGCUCUUCAGUUUAGCACAAAAACAACAUAUGUAAUGAUAAAUCAUUUCAUUAUUUUGCACUUGCAAAAGUCUCGAAGUUCACAUUUAACACUUUUUAGCAUUGACAUAGACAUAUAACCAUUUGGGACUAUUUAUUUGAUAUACGCAAUAGCAAACAAAUUUAAAAAAUAAUAUAAUAAAAAGUGUACACGUAAUCAAAUGGCAUAUAAUUUUUCAGAAGAACUAAGUUAUAAAAGCAAUAAAGUUUAGUAUAAAGAAUUGUAAAUUGCUAAAUAUUCUUUAGCUCUUACUUUAUUUUAUUUGGGACUAUUUAUUUGAUAGUUUACUCAAUUUCAAGUAAUAUUUAUUUGAUUUUUUGUACCAAUAACGUACUAAAAAUGUAAAAAAAUAUUCACCGUGUAUAUCAAUGUUUAGACUAUAUGUACGUUAAAAAAAUUUAAAAAAUAUAUUUAAAAGGUUAUAAGAUUUUUGACGGGUGGACUAAACUCUGGUGGCCUACGGUUUAUACAAGUAUAACAGAAGUUUUGUAUAAAGUUAAUGGUAUCUACCCAGAAAGGUCAGUCAAAAUAACUAAGAAUGCGGAGUGGAAAAAGGCUUAAGGCUAAUUUAAAACACAAAAAUAAAUAAUAAAAGUUUAAGAGAUAUCCCAAAUUUUUAGAAUUAAAAAUCAAUUAAAAUAAUUACAAUAAUGAUUAUAUUAAAAAAUAAAGAAAAUGAUAUGAAUUAUUGAAAAUUCAUUAAAAGUAAAAUAAACAAAACAAUAUGUAAUGGGAUACAAUACCAAUUAUUUAUACAUGAUACACAUGGCAAUAACAAAUGUUAAACAUAAACAAAAGUAACAAUGUUGUAUUUUAAAAAAUAAAAUAUUAACAAAGACUACAAGAAAUUUCAACAACAACAAAAUAAUAAAACAACAAAAAAAAUAAUGUCACUUGCAGCAUAUAACAAAAGAAAAAUAAUUUUUUCACUAACUAACCUUAAAAUCAAAAAAGGUCCACAAACUACACCUAAACAAUAACAGGAAAAUUUGAGAAACCCAAGUGGAAACAUAACACUUAGUUAAAUGGAGAUCACUAUUUUAUAUUUACCAAAAAAUAAUAAUACCUGAGAAAGUAAAAGGGUAAAGUAUGGUCAGAACAAAAAUCUAAAAAUUACAAAGGCAUUAGGAAGUAAGGACGCCGAUACCACCACGACAGUGUAGAAGAGUGAAAUACAAUUCAUUUAAAUUUAUUAAAAAUUAUAGAUUAGGUAACCAAAACUAAAUUUACGAUAACUAAAAUUACCAAUGAAGGAUGAUGAAAAUUAGUGAAUGAAUCUCAACACGUGAUCCAGUUGUUCAAUAACUUGAAUGAAGCCCAAAAGAAUUUAAUUAACUGUAAUUAGCAACUCAGUAUUUUUUUGUGAAAAUAAUUUAGAUCCAUUGUAAAGGUUCAUCAGAGUACAAUGCAACCAAACAUAAUAAUAAUUACAUUGUCUAUGGACCACCGAACGACCACUACCGCCGCUAGAAGGAGCCACCAAAACGCCAGUUUGGCCAUGAAUUUAACUAAUAAAAGGUAAACAAUAUAUCACCAAAAUUAUAUAGUGAGAAAUUUUUAAAAACAAAUUCAAUAGUAUUUUCUGGUAGCAUACACUUUAUAGUCUGUUAAUAUUGAUUGUCAAAUUUUGGCCCAAAAUACGAGGGACAUAAUAAUACCCGAUAGAGGAGCUGAUGUAUGUAAAUGCAACUAAAACGGGAAAUUAACAUACGAACCUUCUGUUGAAAGAGCUGGCAUUUCUGGACCCCGAGCUAUAUGCCCCCGCAUCAAAAGUAAAUUUGAUUAAAAAAGUAUGAAAUCUGAAAUAUCUUGGCAUGGAAAGUUCUUUUUCUUAGGGGACACAUGAAAAAUUCUUGAGUGUUCGAGGCAUGUGCAAAAUUUCAUCGAGAAAUUUGACGCCCGGAGAGAUCUGAAAAGAAAUGUGGUCCAAAAUGUCUAAGUUGUAAGCUUUUUUGGAGAUCGAUGUUGUUUGUUUUGUCUAGAGCUCCUGAGAUAUCAUUUCUCCGUCCCCACCUGCAACAUCAAAGCUUCCUCGUUUCAAAAACAGAAAUUAUUUUGUUUUAUAGGAAAACAAAAGGACAUUUUUUUAUAUCCUUUCCUCAUGACUGACCGAGAGACAAUCCGGAUUCUCUCUACAAAAAAAGAUUCUGUCUCAAAAAAAAAUACUGACAAUCAAGCAAUACAAUACUAUAUUUAAUUUGAUUUACUGAAGCAAAACCCAGCCAGGUGCUGAACAGACAAGGGGCAAAAAUCGCAUAUGAAAUGCUCGUCUCAACAAAUAGAUUCCCUAAAAAAAGAAUGGAUGCCUUGAAGAGAUAGGUCAGUGUAAUCUCUUUGUGCACUUCAGAGGAAAGUGCACUUGCUUUAGUCAAUUAUGAGUGUUCGAUCAGUGUAAGCAAUGAUGUUUACACAGACAGUGUAAUAAUCUCUUGCGCGCUCAAACUAGUGGCGAGCAGAGUUAGCGUCAAUCUUUGCACUUUGUCUCAAAAGAACACAUAACGGUUAUUCAGAUGUAGAACGAUGCAACUGUCAAACUUUGACUGCAAAAUGUAAAUCCAUCCCACCAUAUCACACUCAGAGCAGAACCAUGAUUUCACUAGACGAGACUCUCAUCGCAUCAAGGCUCAUACGCCUCUGAUCAACUGGAAUUUAAAGUAAUACAUGCCCCUGGAGCAUCCUCUCAAGCCAAGGGUGAGUCAUGUCUCUCAAACUCCAGCCAGAAGAUGCUUCCCUCUGGGGGAUACCUAAACAGCACACAGCUAAGGACAGAUGCUAGCGAGUGAUGGCGGCACUCGGUUACAGACACAGUCGACGAACGCUGACUUGUAGUGGCGGCACUCGGUUACAGACUCAGUCAACGAACGCUGACUUGUAGUGGAAAUCAUCGAUGGUCGAGUAGAUGUGCCCGACAUCGACAUGGUAGUCGAUAGCCUCCCUGCAUAUCAGAGGUGAAAGAUUUAUUAGCCAGCAGCAAUACAUCAUCGUGUGUCUUGGUUCAAGAGAGGUAGAGAGAUGGGCUUACUUGAUCUUGAGUGCUGGUAGUCUGAACCGCUUGGCAAUGUCAUCCACAUGCACGCCAUGGUCACUCUCGCUGUCAAUUAAACAGAGUGGUUAGAUAAAGAUGAAAACAAAUCACUGAUGAUGUAAAAGAGGAACAAUAUGCGGAGUCUACGAUGGGUAAUAGAUCAGGUUUUCAUGGCCUAUAUGUCAAGCAUAAAAGUCAGUUGAUAGGACAAGGCAAGGGAAGGAAGGAUUGGCGGAUGCACAGCUUACAUGUUUGCCGGUUCGCGGAAGACAUUCAGCACCUGCGUGUAGAAAUCGGUCUCCGAUCCGUUUGUUCCGCUAGUCGCUGGCGCCUGCAGGAAUGAAGGAAAUGAAUGACUAGUUAGCACACGAAUAGUUAGUUCUACUGUUCGAACCACUCAAACAUUGCAAUCACAGCUAACCGGGUUGGACUUCACAGAGGGUGGAGUAGCCGCUUCGCUCAAUCUGUUGGCGAAUGGGGUUCCCACAGAAGAAUUGGUGUGCGCGGGACUGCCAACCUACAAUUAACCAUGAUUAUAACAACCAUUUAAACCAGGUAUUCUUCUAACUGAGGACAAACAGAGAGUUAUCAUGGGAGUAUCUGCAUUGAACAUUUGGUACCACAAUGAUCAGGAGCAUACCUUUGAUUUUGUGUUCUCUAUGUGCAUCCGCACGCACUGAAUGAAAUGCAGCGUGACCUCGUUGUAAUCAGUUAUAGGUCUGAAAAUGGAGAAGUUACAUUCGGUUAGCAUGUUUCCAUACAUCAGAUCAGUGGAACAGGAACAUAAUGUUCUGCAGCAAAAACAAAUACCUGACUGCGAAAGCAGUAGCACGCUUCUUGUCCUGAACUCCCUUCAGGCUACCGAUGACAGCAACGUACAUACCAUUCCUUAAUUAACAAAGGAAGUAUUAGAAAAGGGUGGUGAUCCUUCAGAGAGGAAGGCAGUAACUUCCCUCAACAAAUGGUGAUUAUGUGUGUAUGACAAGCAAACAAUGAAGGUUGCAAGUAAUACGUACUGAAUAGCAGCAGUUUCAGCAGAAUCUGCAGCAUCAUUCACCCUGUAAAACAUAUCAAAUUGACAAAGAUGUUAAACUGAUACCUAUUGCUGACAGCAGAUACUAUCAUGUUUGAUUAGCCCACAAAGCUUUGUCUAAAUAGCAGAACGGCAUUACAAAUCCUGAGCUUAUAAAAACGCUAACUGUUGUUGAUGGCAUAAACUAUGAAAUACCAUUAACCGCUAACUAUAAAGAAUAUAUGGUGGUACUGCAAUGAGCCUAAUGACAGCAUUUCAGAUAUUUACUCUUCCCAAAGAACACAUUUUUCUGCUGAUAUCUCAUUAACUACCAAAGAAACAAUAAUCUGUACUAAUAUACUCCCUCCGUCCCAAAAUAAGUGACUCAACUUUGUACUAAAGUUAGUACAAACUCAAGUCACUUAUUUUGGGACAGAGGGAGUAUAAUCUUAGCCAGCGCUUAAGAAAACAUAAGAAUUUUAUAGUGAUAUAUCUACCAUGGUAAAAUAUUUGCAGAUUUCCCAUUCUUGGACUGCUCACACACUGAUAAGAGCAACUGUAUUACUAGUGAAAAUUGAACUUUGGGUUUGACAAAUCAAACAAGAGAUAGCCAGCAAUGAGGUCUUUUAUAUUCACAAAGACAGAAGAAACUAUAAUAAUAUCUCAUUGGUACAUGAAUCUCAGUAGUACAAAUAUAUCAUGCUUAGCCAGUUCUAAGAAUUGAAGCGUUCCACAGUAAUACACACACCCUAAUAAGUAUUCCCUCCGUCUGCGAAUAAGUGUACAUCUAGCUUUUGUACCAAGUCAAAGUUUUAAAAUUUUGACCAACUUUAUAGAAAAGUGUAGUAGCAUAUAUGAUAUCAAAUUGGUAUAUUAUGAAGCUACAUUUCAAAAUGAAUCUAGUGAUACUAAUUUAGUACCAUAAAUGUUACUACUUUUUCCCUAUAAAAUUGGUCAAAGUUUUAAAACUUUGACUUAGGACAAAAGCUAGAUGUACACUUAUUCACGGACGGAGGGAGCAAUGCCUUUCAAAUGGUUGAUUGAUUAGUCAGGUAUGGUAAAGUAAUUGCAGAUCCCUCACUAUUGGAUUGUUUGCACUGCGAUGAGAGGCACGGUAUUCUAGUAAUAUAUAUUGGUAUAUUAUGCUUGUCAAGUGUUACAGAAUUCAAAUUUUAAGCAUUUCACGGUAAUUUAUCCCCCUAAUGUCCCCCAAAUAGCCAAUUAACCUGAAAUGGCUAAUAACAACCAGCAGAUUUACCAUUACUGGAAAGCUUGCAUUGCUGUACUAACAGCUAGCAGCAUUUCUAGUGAAAAUUAAACGUGGAACAUUCAAAAAAUCCCACAGCCAGCACCCAGCAAUGGCAAACAGAGCACAAAGGUCUAAAACUGUACCCCCUAAAACACAUCUGGUACUCAACUAUGCUAAUGAUCAUUUGUUAGCAGGAUACCUGAAAUGCAUACUGAUUUAGUAAGCUAAGCCAGCUGCACAGACAAAAAAACAAGUACUUUGGAGAAACAUAUCGCCCUGCUAUUUCUAAAAUAGUUAAUUAGUCAAAUAUGGUGUCUAUGAACUUGCAAAGUUGCAAUAAUCUACAUUAUCAUAGUAUGCUUAGCCAGUCCAUACUGACUCAAAAAAUAAAUCAAGCAUUUUGCAGUAAUAUACUCCCUCUGUAAACUAAUAUAAGAGUGUUUAGAUCACUACUUUAGUAUUCUAAACGCUCUUAUAUUAGUUUACGGAGGGAGUAGUAUAUUCCACUACUGUCCCUCAAAUGGUUAAUUAGUCAGAGAUGGCAAAGCAAUUGCAGAUUUCCCAUCGUCUAAUUGCUUGCAGUGUUGUGAUAGCCAGCAGCAUUCCUAGUGCAGGGAGAACUUGUAAGGUUUGACGAAUCUAACAGCAUAAUAUACACAGCAAUGGCCACAGGAGCACAAAGGUGUAAACUUGUUUCCUAAAACACAUCUGGGACUCAAUUACAGAAUUAAUCUUACACUGUCGUACCAACAGCCAACAGUAUUUCUAUCUUAGCGAAGAUUGAAGUCGCAGCAUUAGACAAAUCCCACAGCCAGCCAACAUCCAGCAAUGGAAUCCAAACAAAAGAUGCAUCUGGAACUCGAUUAAAAGUAGGGGAUUUGCCGAGAUGCGCUCACCAUCUGAUGAAGUCGAUGCGGCCGGUGCCGUCGUCGAGGGUGAAGGAGACGUCCGUGUUCCGCUCCGCCUUGCCGCUCACCAUCCCCACGAGCCUGACCUGCAGAUCCCCCAACCCCGAACAACAGCAGGGUAAGAAGCCGAUCCAGACGAGCCCGGAGGCGCAUGGCCGGUGAAUCCUCACUCACGUUGGCCGUCUCGACGCCGUCGACGACGAAGGGCGCUCCCUUCUCGCCGGCGCCGGCCAGCCGCGCGUCCGCGAUCUGCUUCACGGUCAGCGGCAUCGUUCCCAACGCGCCCCGGAACUGCGACGCACAACCGAAAGAUCUACAUCAGGAAACCGGCGAGGACACAUCUCGCAAGAAAGCGGGCAAGGAGGAGGGACCGACCUUGUUGGGGGUGGAGUCGGCGGCGGCGUUCUGCGACGCGGUGAACUGCGACGGCGAGAAGGCGUCCACCUGGCUGGAGAACAUCAUGGCUGCUGCUCCCCUUUCCCGCCUCCUUCCCCUGCUCCGCUCUGCUCUCGGCUCGGCCGGACGGAUGGAUCUCUUCUGGCGGCGGCGGCGGGUGGUGGCGUCUGGCGGGGAGGGGAUCGGAGGAGGCCGGGGAUAAGAGGGGGCGAGCGCGGGAGAUUCGGGGGGAAAUGCGCGGGAAACCCACCAACGCUUCCCGCCAGUUCUCGCUGCCGCGGGCUUUAAUUUGGCCUUCGCUGUUGGCUGACAGGUGGGUCCCUGCCGCACAUGACUCAGCUGCCAGCAGCCAAACCUCAAAAAAAAAAACUGCCAGCAGCCGGUGAGACUUUUUUUUAUCAAACAAGUAAGUUCAAAAAAUUCUUCACUGCGUAAGUGGCAAAAAAAAAUUAUCACCAAAUAUUCCAUCCUUUCCAAAUGUAAAGCGUGUAAGGAUCUCCUUUUUUUUGAAAAAAAAAGGCUGAAAGCGAUAUAUUUGGGGCGCCGAAAUCUUCUUCUUCCUACAUCCACCGGCGACGUACCCUGAGCAAAGCUCUCAUACCGUAGCGAUAGCACUAUAUUGUUUGUUUGGCGUUGUAGUUACAGAUAUAUUUUCUAUAAACUUGGUCAAAUGAAAGAAAAUGAUCUUGGGAUAAAAUAUGUACGCCUUCUAUAUUGGAAACGACCGACGAAGACUUUCAAGUUACAAAAAUGAUUUUCUUAUGUUAUGUUGAAAAAGCGGCCAUUUCAUAGAAUAGUAUGCCAAAAACUCCAUCCUGGUACGAAAUAGAAAAUAUCUUGGGUGAUUUUGUGCUUUGAGGAACCAUCUAAGAAGACAUUUGCUAUUGUUCUCGCAAAAAAAAAAGAUUGAAAAAAGUAGUAAUAAUGGCAAUAUUAAACCAGACUAGUAGUCUUGAAUUGUUUAUGUUGCAAAUAAUUGUUUUGAUCGUUUUUAAGGGGGGUGCAAACGACCUGAGUGAUUUUUUCAGGCAGGCGAUAUGCGUAUUUCCUGUCAAAACAUAAACGAAAUUUAUUCGCAUUACAGAAAUAAAAUCAGCCUCCACAACAUUCGAGCCCAGUCACAGAUGUUCUUUCAGCGAAAGCCCAGUUACAGAUUAUUCUUUUUUUUUUUUGAGAAAUAGUUACAGAUUAUUCGAAAGUGGACCGGUCUCCACCUCCCAGCCCAGUUUAAGAUCCAGGGAGAAGCCCAUAGAGCGUCUGAACAAUGUGCUUUCGGCUUUCGGCUGGUCUCGUUUUCUGCGGGAAUCUGUUAAUAAAAAAAAAUUCCGCGGGAAAAAAAUAUCGCCAAGAUAAAACGGGGGAAAAAAGGAUUUGGAGAUGGGAGGUAUCGAUCCCCCUGCCUUUUAAUAGCUGAUUAAAUGCUCUACCAUUUGAGCUACAUCCCCAUUGAUAUCUACUCCCUCCGUCCGGGUUUGUUGGGCCCUUAAGCCACAACACAAAGACCAAGGAGAUACACGCAUGUUGAGAUUUAGGAAAUAAAUCUGCUUAAUUUGCUCUCUAACUGCCCUAUUAAAUUGCCCCAUUAACCAAAGCAGAGCAUGCAGCGGCCGGCGUGCGCAUGCGGCCGGCGUGCGCAUGCAGCCUGCAUGCAUGCCCAAUCGGCAAGGUUCCUGCGUUGGCUCCAUUGCAACGAUGCAUGGGUGGGAGAGAUUUCAGGUAAUAAAGCAAGGUAAUUAAUGUACGGGCCUAAUAAAAUGGUACAACCAUCUAUGGCUCUCGGGCCCAAUAAACCCGGACGGAGGGAGUAUUAUACUAAUCCAAGCUCAUAUUAAUAUCAAUUAAUUAUUUUGAAUAAAAGCAAUCAAUCCCAAGUUCAAUUCUUUUUUGCGAGGAAAUCCCAAGUUCAAUUUCCCAAGGUUACGUCUUGUGCGAAAACCGUGGCUCUAAAAUCACUAUAGCCAUAAACAAAAUUACGCAAAUGCUUAAAAACCGUAACACUAAAUAGAAUAUUGGACUCUUUUAGGACAACUUUGUGAUUUGAUAUUCUCUAUUCUCUAGAAAAAGACAUUUUUUUACCUGGUAUUGGCAAUCUAGACUAGGACCUGUAGACAAUACUAAGGGACUGUUUGAAUGACAAUGCUAAGGGAGUAAAAUAUGUUUUUGUUAAACUGGUCACUAGGUUUUGUUUAUGCAAAUAACCACUAAGAGUGUUUUCUUUAAUUGUAGGUAUUAAGAUAGCUAACCGGCCUUGCCACCCGGUAGAGUGUGUUGAGAUCAAAAAUGAGUGAAGAAAAUAGAGAUGUGGGCCAUGCGUUGGUUUAAGACCAAAGUUCACAAAGGACGAAUGGGACCAAAAUGUGCACCCUUGCUUGGCCAUCGUUUACGAGUGAAUUGCAAAAAACCACCACAUUUGAAGUUCUCAUCCAGAAUUGCCACCACAUUUCUUGCGCACCCCAAAAAUCCACCUCUUUUCUUGCUAAUUUUCUCAAUAAACAUUGAUGAUCAGUUUAAAGUGAUUAAUCUGAUUUAUGACAACCUGGGCCCGCUGUAAGCACUGACGUGGCACAAAAUUGUCAACAUCGUUUGUUGACCUGUUAAUUUGGACGGAGGGCCCACCUGUCAGCACCCUUAUCUCUCCCAAACCUUCUUAUUCUCUUUUGAGGCAUUCCAUCAAACAGCUUGGGUGCAUCCAACGUUGUUGCCGCCCUCAAGCUCGCGCUGCUGCACGGCCCGCCAAUUACUGCCGCACCAAGGAGGGCGCCGUCCCCGAGCCGCGUGGCCGAUGCAUCCAUGUAAGUCGUCUCGCGCCGCCUCCCGCACCGUUCCGAAGUUGCACGGCUGCCGCCUUCGUGCAGGUCGUCCCAAGCAGUCGCGAGUGAGGCCGCCGCCCGAUGCCAGGCAGGGUCGCCGCCGACAGCAACAAGAGGCCAGGUAGCCAGUGACGCAAUCAUCCUUGGUUGGAAGGCUGACACAUCGUCUUCACGGCGCAGUGGCGGGAGACGGCCAUGGCAGGGCCGUGUGUCACGGCGGCGCGCGCUUCUGCCGAGCUGUAGCCAUGGCGGCCCGUGCGAGAGCGGGCGCAGGAGGUGGGUAGAAUGAGGAGGGUGAGAGGAGCGGGAGAAUGGUGGAGGGCCACAGCGGGGCUUUGCUCGUCGGGAGGCGGUGUUGAUGCAGACGGCGCCCGAUGCAGGACAACCUGAGAAGGAGGUGCUGGGGAGAGAGAAGGAGAGGAGGAGAGGGAGGCGAAGCUGCCAGCGGCGGGCUCGCCAGUGACGCCCCAAUCGGAGGAGUGAGCAGGGGCCCCUGGCAAUGCGGGAGUGUUGAUGCGGGCUCACCGGCGACGACCCAGUCGCAUGAGAGGUAAGGGUGGCUGACGGGUGGGCCCUUUGUCUAACUUAUAAUAGGUCAACAAAAAAAUAUUGACAAUUGUGUGCCACGCCAGCGCUUACAGCGGGCCCGGGCUGUCAGAAAUCAGAUUAAUCACUUCAAACCGGCCAUCAGUGUUUAUUGAGAAAAUUAACAAGGAAAGAGGUAGAUUUUUGGGGCGCGCAAGCAAUAUGGUGGCAAUUCCGGAUAAGAACUUCAAAUGUGGUGGUUUUUUGCAAUUCACUCUCGUUUUGCUGACAAAUGGAUCUCCAGUCCACACCAGUCAUGUUAGGCUAAUAAGUGAGAUUUAAUAAGUUAUUUUUAUCACUAAUAACAGAAAAGACAUUUUAUUGCUAAGUCCAAAAGAAAAAGAAAACAGAGUAACGGUAACCCACAUCGAGCAGCUCCUGACCGAACUAAGAUGAUGCAAGUGUACAUGAUCCAUACGUGGACACAACCACGCGACUGAAACCCGUGCACACCCUGAGAAAGUAGUCCAUCCGCCAAAGAGUUGUAUGUGUAGCCAAGAACAUUCAUCGACAUAUGUGUGACACAAGUCGCAGAGCACCGGCAAGAGAGGAUUGUACCGCCAAAAUCUCACAUUGGAGACGCUCUGGCAAUACCACAUGUCCAUCACAAAUGUACGUCGAUGGUAAUUCUGGUCAUGGCCAUCGGCCCUAGACAAUACACAAUUAAUCUUCACCACAACUACUCCAUGGCCACGAUCUAUCGCCACAAGCUCAUCCGGACCUUGGCCCGCUGACCAACCACAUCGGCACCACAACGUACCACCUACGUAGCACCGAUACGGCGAUACGAGUACGGCGAUACGGGAUACGGCAAUUUCUAAAAACAACAAUACAACAAUACGUCGAGUAUAUAUAAAUAAUUAAUAAAAUGACAUGUGUUAAAGGCAAAACAUAAUACAAUGUGUGAGAUGAGAUCAAAUUGGUUGCCUCAUUGCCUCCAUGCCUCUUUUCAAGCCCUGAAUGAUCAUCAAGGUCCUCAACUCCUCAUGUUGUAUGCAAAAUAGAAAAUACGUCAUAUGAUAUUAGACUUUGUCAAUUUCGUAUUUCCCUCCGUAGCGGUACGACCAAGUGAAGAUUGGCUUGAUGCCAGGUCGUAUUUUCCUUCGCAGUAGACAGUAAGCAGCAACAUCAGUAAGCAAUAGACAGUACAGAAUACACUAGAAAGUAGACAGUAGGCAUCAGCAACAUCAGUAAGCAAUGCUUCAACAAGACAGUAGACAUAGCUUAUCAAGAUAAAUGGAGAUGCAUAUAUGUGUGCUAGUCUGCUUCUCCAGCCUAACUAAGUUCAGAGGAUCAGCCGAACACAAGUACAGGUAAUUAGACAGAUGCAGCACGGCACAUGCCAGCAGCCAAGCACACAGGAUACAAGCAGCCAAGCACGGAUGCGACGGAAUCAUACCUCGUUGUUGCUGGCGACAGAUAAGACUCCAGUCACUCCAGGCAAGACGAGCCGGCAGGUGGAGAGGCGAUUCAAGGCGGCGGCGGCGAGCUACUUCAGGCAAUCAGGCGGCGCGGUGGCGGCAGCGCACCGCCUGCUGUCGCCAGAUCGAAUCCUUCGUGGUCGAACAGAAAGGAAAGAGAACUGAUGUUAGGUUAGGCUUGUGGGCUUCUAUUGGGCUCAGGGCUGCCGGCGACGUGCUUGCCGUAUCCCGGCCAUGUCCACAGCGUGUCACCACCGUAUCAUGUUUAUUUUCUUUUCUUUUUAAAUCAAAAAUCGGGAUACUUUGGCGAUACCCGUAUCGGAGCCGUAUCAGACGUAUCAGAGUAUCGGUCACGUAUAGUAUGCCGAUACAGCUGAUCUUGACGUAUCGGUGCUUCAUAGGGCACUAGAGAGAUAGGGAAGCAGACAAGUGCAGCACAAAACUCACACCAACCCCUUAUUUUUCCAGCGAAACCAUCUCCAAUACCUUUUUAGAACUUUAAAACAUGGUUUCCACAAAGUUUUCUUUGUAACUUGGUGUCCACCGGAUAUUCUAUAUCAGGAUGGAGCUAAGGCAAAAGAAAAACCAGAAGCCAUGAGGCCACGUAUGACCUCAUCCCAACCCCAUGUCGGUCCCACUCCUCUCCCCCAGAGGCCACGUCUGCGGCAAGAGGAGUGGGUACCCGCCAUUUCAUUUCUAUUUUCCUUAGGUUUUGUUUCCUUAGUGGCAUCGACGAGGUGGUGGCGGUGAUGGUGUGUUGGAAUAAGGUCUUUCUAAUUUCUUACCUCGACGACGUCCAAUCUGCAGACGAAGGGCAUGUGAGAGUUUUUGCCGCCAGAUUUGUUUGCUCUCUCCGGAUCUUGGUAGUUGGCGUGUCUAUCAAGAGAGCAAUAUAUUGGCUAUUCGUGUGGCAACUUAAUUCAAUGUCUUAUUUCGUGUUGUUUUGCGGUACGGUUUGGUUUCUCCAAGUCUCUAGACCGGUGGUGAUGGAUUGCAAGCUUGUAGUACGUGGGGGUAAUGCUAUAACCGUUUUCUUUAAUGAUUUCCAGAUAUCGUCUGAAACGGUGAGUGGCUAUUGCGGUCUUUAAUGCAUGACAUGGCGAUGGCAUUCACAUGUAUCCCUUUUCCUUACCGUUGGUUUAGUGUAAUUUUUAAUCUCCAACGGACGGAAUACAAUUAGAGAAAUAAGAGGACUAUUAUAAUUUUUAUUGUAAUUGUAUUUUUAAUUGAUAGUCAUACUUUCAGUUGUCCUUUCAUUGUACUGGCUAUUGUUUUUUCUUGAUAACUAUCAAAUCCAAGAUGCCUUUUGGUGUCUUACUUCAAAAAAGAAAGAUGGACGUAGCUAGGGCAAAUCUUUACCGCAUAGGAGUAUUACAUAAUUAGCGAGUGGUGUGGCAUAACAAUAACAAAAUAAAUAUAAAAUUUAGAAGUCAACUAGCACAAAGGAAAGCUAGCCACUACAUAAUUUUAUAGGAAUCCAGAUUUUAUAUGUGUUGCCCCAACAUACAAGCAAGUUCAUAUUUGUUCGCUCUUGACGAACCAAACACAUACAGUUCAAAUUCAAUGAGUAUCCAAAAAUUUAUAGAAUUACCCCGUAGCAUAACGACAGGCCUAGUAUGGUACGUACUAAUUUUUGGAUUCUCGCAUCCACAUCAGUGUGGUGUCCUCUCCCCAUCACCACGUCAGUUUGACUUUGUUGUAUUUUAUGUCCGCAUGGCCACCCCAAACAAGCAAGAACACGACCACACGCAUCCUAUCCUAGCUAUAUAAUGCCAGCCAUUGGUGCAAUCUUUCUUUCACGAUCGAGGAGCCAACACAACCCCAUGUCUCACAAGAAGAUGACCAUGAGCUGCCUCGUCGUGCUGACACUGGCACUCGCGGCCACCGUGGGCGCGCAGGAGUGCAGGCGGAGCGGCACGCUCCGGCCGAGCAAGGGCCACGCGUGCGAGGACUGCUGCGAGGCAGGGAAGGCGUACCCGACGUACCGGUGCUCGCCGCCGGUCGUCGCGGGCGCCACCAGGGCCAUCAUGACGCUCAACGACUUCGACGCGGGCGGCGACGGCGGGGACCCGUCGGCGUGCGACGAGGUGUUCCACCGCAACUCGGAGCGCGUGGUGGCGCUGUCCACGGGGUGGUACGCCGGGGGCUCCCGCUGCGGCGACCGCAUCCGGAUCCGAGCCAACGGCAGGUCCGUGCUCGCCAAGGUCGUCGACGAGUGCGACUCCUUGAACGGGUGCGACCGCGAGCACGCCUUCCAGCCGCCAUGCCGCAACAACGUCGUCGAUGCGUCCCAGGCGGUGUGGGACGCGCUCGGCAUCACCGGCGAGGAGGUCGGCGAGUACGGCAUCACCUGGUCAGAUGCAUGACUCUGCCGCCCGCCGCCGGCCGGUGGUGCCUUGAUGUAGUGUUCUCUUUCUUAUUUGCAGCUUAUGUUUAUGUGUGGUGCCUUGUUGUAGUGUUCAAAUGUAGUGUCCUCGAUGAAUAAGUAAACUGCUCUUUAUAUUUCUUAUAACAGCAAUCGGCAAUUUUGGCUAGUGCCGGAGUUUACCGAGUGCUUUCUAUCAGGAGGUUGGCAAACAAAAAGAAUGCGAGUGUCAGUCAUAAAAACUUGCAAAAACAUACUGUAGAACUCGGCAAUGGAGAGGUUUUCGGGAGCGCACGAAAAAAAUAUCAGCCUCCACAACAUUCGAGCCCAGUUACAGAUUAUUCCGAAGUGGACCAGUCUACACCACCCAGCCCAGUUAAAUAUCCAGGGAGAAGCCCAUAGAGCGUCCGAAGAAUGUGCUUUCGGCUCUUUGCACGUCACAUUUUCUGCGCGAAGCCGGGAAACCGCUAACAAAAAUAUUUCUGCGGGAAAAAAAACUAUAUCGGCAAGAUAAAACGGAGGUGGAAAAUAUAAUUUGGAGAUGGGAGGUAUCGAUCCCCCUGCCUUUUAAUAUCUAUUGAUAGACUAAUCCAAUAUAAUAUUGGAAAUCCGUUGGUGCUUCCUGGAGCGCACGCUAAAAUUAUAUUUUAAAGUGUGAAAAAAAUUCCAAACAAAAAUUUGGCGCAUAUAUCUCGACAUUAUAUGUAUACACGUCAAGUUUUGGAGAAAACUGAUAUUUUUUGUGGCUUGUGUAAAAAGACAAAAGGAUGUCUUGUGAAAAGUAAUUUUUAACACUGGAUUUUGUCUUUUUCACACGCGACACAUAAGUUAUUGGUUUUUCGUGAAACGACUUUAUGAGCAUGUACAAUAACAAGAUGUACGUGUCAAGUUUUUGUUUGAAUUUUUUAAUAUUUCAAAAUAUGUUUAAAGCACAUUUUCAAUACCAGGAGCGUGCGCUUCCAUGUGCCAAAAUGCCACUCUCCAAUUAAUUCUUUUGACUAAAAAUAAUCAAUACCAAGUUCAAUUUCCCAUGGUUAUGUCACGCGUGGCCACAUGCGAAGCGCUCCUCGCAACCUCAGUUUAUUUUCUUGAGAAUCCGCCCUUCAGGCUCUUUAUUCAUUAGUAGGCGUAAUCCGGCGGCGGCGGGGCUCUGGCGCGCCGGAGCGGCCCGGCUGCGAGCGGGGACUCGUGCGGCAGCAGCGGCGCGGCGCUCCUCCGCGCGCGCCGUUCGUGCUCCGUGGCGGUGGGAGGGUGGCGGUGCUUGCGGCGGGGGGUGGGCGUCCCGUGCUCCGGCCAUCUUUGGCCCGCGCGAUGCGCUUCGCCUCCCAAUCUGGCGGGUUGGGCCGCUGCCUGCGGUGCCUCACGGCGUUCGUGGCGGCUGGUCGUUCCCCCGGCCGUGAGGGCGGCGUGGGGCUGCGGCGGAGCCAUCUGCCUCGGCUUGGACGGCCGCGGCGGGCCUGGGCGUCUGCUGUCUUCUGCGACGGAUCUGCCGAUUCCUGCUCUCUCCGGUGAGCUGGACCUCGGGAUGGGUGGGGUGAGUGCGCUGGGCUUCUACGCACGAGGUGUGCGGCGGACUCGGCGUGAUGCAGGUGCAGCUCUCGCUGCCUCUUAGAUCGAGCUCUGCUCGCUCUCCCGAUCUGGAGGCUUCGCAUGGUGCGGCGGCCUCUGUUCUGUGGUCAGGCUGCGAGUGCUCUUGCUGGUGUGUUGGUUGGCUAGCAGGCUGCAGGUUGGGGGUCGUGACACUGCCGGCGUAAAGCCGGGCUCCGGUUUCGGUUGGAGCCAACGACGGCGGUGCCUGUGGGCGCCGUAUCCUUGUUGAAGGCGUCGUGCUGCUGGUGUUCGUCUUCCCUCCUAAAUUGCUCCGGAGGAAACUUUGGAUCUUGGGUCUCCCGGAUCGGGCGAUGGUGGCGCUCAACGUCACACUCCCACUUGGGGCUUCGUCUUUGAGCUUGCCUUGGCUAGGGUGACCAGUGGCUUGAGGUGGUCCCGUUGGCGGUCCGUGUGGGCGUUAGCAGUGGAGAGGUGGUGCUUUGUCUUCGUGAUCUUGGCUCGGCCAUGCCUUUGGCCGCGUUGAGGUGUUUGUGUUGGCGGUUGGAUGGUGGUGGUGCGGCCGGGUUGGGGUCGACGGUGGUUUGAGCUCUUCUUCGGGGGUGUUCUUCUCGUGUUCUUGCUCCUGCACUCCUGAGUGUGUUCUCUGCUAGGUGAUGCCAAGCUACAACGGCGGUGGCGCACAGGUGCCGUGGCGCUGUCUCGGCCUCGCGUGACCUUUCGAAUGUGCCCCACGGCACAGGUGGUGUCGCGACGUUGUGCAGUCUCGGAUGCGCGGAGCCUUUCGAUUGCGUCGACGGUGCAGUGUCAUGGUCUUGUUUGCUUGGCGAUGCUGACUUCGCCUAUGGCACAUAGGCGCCGUGGCGUCGUCUCGGCCUCGCGUGACCUUUCGAAUGCACCCCCGGCACAGGUGGUGUUGUGGCGUUGUGCACUCUCGGAUGCGUGAAGCCUUUCGAUUGCGUCGAUGGUGCAAUGUCUUGGCUUGGUCGGCUGGCCAAUGCCGUUCGAUCACAUUGGUGGUGCUUUGUGUUGUGCUGGGAUGUGUCUUCCCUCUUUGUUCUCCCCUGUUUGUAUGUUUGGAGUAUUCUGUUUUUGCUUUAUCUCUUCUUCCGUGUCCCCCUGUAAUUCUGGUUCAUUUGAACCCAUCUUGCAAAAAGGCUGCAAAGCCUUAUAGGCAAAUGAAUAUAAUUCAGGUGGUGGAGGGGCUCCCCCUCCUCCCCCGGUGAAAAUUCAAAAAAAAAAAAAGUAGGCGUAAUCGAAUCCAACUGUACAACAUCAAUCAGAAAUACAAGGGGUACAUCAAACUCGAACAAAAACGCUUCCAUAGUAAGCGCCUCUCUACCACUCUUCUGAGCAACGCCAUUUGCUUCUCUGCUCACAUGUUGCAACUUAAACCCCUAGAAAAGAUGGAGAUAGGCUUUGUUCAUCCACUGGUUACAAACAGUCUGACAACGCGUCUCAACCACCACAUGCGUGAGACCCUUUUCGAUUGCUAGGGCCAUGCCAUCCCUGCAAGCCAGCGUCUUAAUCACCAACAACGGAUCCCUGACAGAAUCAUACUCCCUCCGUUCCAAAAUAGAUGACCUAACUUUAUACUAACUUUGUACUAAAGUUGAUACAAAACCGAGUCAUCUAAUUUGGAACGGAGGGAGUACUUCGUAAUUCUUCCGCCGAUAACGGUUCGUUGAUCGUCCCGAGCUACGACUGCAGUCCCAGCUAGACCCUGGUUCACCGAGAUAGUGCCAUCAUAACUUUUCAUUUUCCCUAGCUUUGCCUGUCGCUAUGGUUGCUUAUACAAACCUCAUUUCAUUUUCGAAAUCAUUCACUGUGUCAGCAUAGUCAUUGCUUUCUCCCCUCAAAAAUAGUAAAAAGGAUAGGACCCCUCAAAGAAAACUUAUUUUCGGCAGAAAAAAAAUCUAUCACCAAGAUAAAAAAGACGUAUAAAUAAAUAAAUUUGAGACUAAUCCCCUCUUGACAACCCAAACUUAUUUAUAAACAAAGAGCUGUACCAUUUGAGCUACAUCCCAUUAUAUGUAUAUAAGACUAAUCCAAAAAUAUUAUUCUUAACUAAACAUGACCAAUAAAUAAAAGUCCAAGUCCAGUUGGAGGUGGCGGGGACAUUGUCCUUCAGUGUUGGCAGAGAGCUGGGUUACAAAUAAUAAACAAUUUAUUUCUAUUUUUUAGGGGUAUAACGAACUUUAUUGUAAUUAUAGGAAAUAAAAUCAGCCUCCACCUUCUAGCCCAGUGACAGAUCAGGCUCCACCUUUCAGCCCAGUUAAAGAUCCAGGCAGAAGCCCAUACAGCGUAGGAACAAAGUCCAUUAUUUUUGCACGUCUCAUUUUCUGCAAGGAAAAAAACGCAUGCCAAGAUAGAAAUGAAAAAAAAAAUGGAGAUGGGAGGUAUCAAUCCCCCUGCCUUUCAAGAUGCGUCUUAAAUGCUCUACCAUUUGAGCUACAUCCCCUUUGAUAUUUGUAGAAUAAUCAAGCCCAAGUCCAUUCAACAAUAAAAAAAAAUCGCUAUAGCCACAAACAAAAACUCCACGGCAACAACAAAAGGAUGAUCAGACUAUUAUGUGACCUCAUAGAAAAAAAGACUAUUUUGUGACGAGUAGGUGCUUCGAGGAGCAUUUGAGAAGAAUAUUUUACGUGGUAUUGUCAAUCUAGACCGGGACUCGGACAAUGUAAAAAAUAGGUUGUCUUGAUGUUUUUAAUGAUGUUUUUUUUGCGGGGACGUACCGAGAACCGUCUUUUACAGGGGAGUCCGAGUGAUAUAUCUUUAUGGUAUAAAUUCUGAAGAUUUGUGUAUCAUCUCUAGUUUUAAAAUGGUUUUAUAGAAAUUGAGUAGGUGCAUGGCCCCCACUCGGCUGAACAUUUGGUUCGCCCCUUGGUCUUUUUAAUGUGUUUCUUGCAUAUGCCAUUUGUUUAUGCGCCGUGUCUCACAUGUUGCAACCAAUUCUCAUAGUUUGUCACACUGAAUGGGAACUCGUUACAUAAGCAUUUACAAUACAAUCUUUGUCAGUCUCACAGAGUUUGGGGAUAUGGAUCAGCCUCCAGCAAAAGGUCAUCCGCAGUCCCAACACAGUUUUCUACUUGUUGGUUACCGGUCUAUUAUUCUACAGAAAAAGGGCCGGCAAAAUAUAUUUAACAUGGUAAAAAGGAAACAGUUUAUCAGAUGGGAGGUAUAUGGAUCAAGGCUGAUCCCACUUUCCCAACCACGACUUAUGGAUGGUUCCUUUGUUCAAUGCAAAAAAAGGUACUCCCUCCGAUCCAUAACAAAUGUCACAGUUUUUACUAAGGAUGAACUAACCUUAGUUCAAAACUGCGACAUUUAUUUCGGAUCGGAAGGAGAGUAAUGAAGUGUCUAAAAGCUUUACUAACAAGGUUUGUGGCAGAAGAUCAAUUAAGGUUCUAUUCCUUUUUCUUAGCUUCAUGUAAGCGCUGACUUCUGAGAAGACGCAUACUCAACAGAAGCACCACUCGACCGUUAAAUUUCUAUGACCGGAGCACAAUGUCUCAACCAGAAAAAAUCCAGGACACUAGAGACUAGGCCAGAGCCAAAUGUUUCAGUCAUUAAAGGGGUGAGCGGGGGCCAAUCAUUUUCGACCCAGCUAAAAGUUUGCUGAGAAGACGUGGGAACCGAUGGUAGAAGGGCCCAAAACUGCCACUCAAGAUAAUACAGAAGGACCUUAAGACACCAUUUGAUCUUGAGUUUAAUGUUCUGCUACAAUGUCAGGCAUAUGUUUGAACCUUUCCAAGGAAUAUAACCUGACACUAUGCUAAAAAAGAGACUGUACACCGAGCAACAUAAUCAGAAAUUGCUUUUCAGAUGCAUAACUACAAUGAACAAGAGUAUUAGUAUGCUAAAAUUUGUGCUGAAGAAAUGCUCCCAAGAACACAUGCUUCCAAUGUUGGUGGGCUGUCCAUGUAGUGGUCAGAAAGGUCUUUGCUCAUCAGCUGCUUGCCCUGAACUCCUGCAAAAGGGAAAAUGUAGUGAUUAGUGUCCUUGCAAUCAAACAAUGUUGGCGACAACAACUAGUGACUUUCCUCUAAAAAAACAACUAGUGACAGAUAUAUAUAGAACACUGAAAGUUUGUAGUCGUGAUAAUCACAAGAGUGGUGGAAACAAAAACUGUUUUUUCAAAAAGGGAAACAAAAACUGUGACUCGAGUCAAAUGGGGCAAAAAUAUAUGAAGUUUGUACACCUACAUUAUCCAAUAUCAGUGAGAGCAUGCUCAAAAGGUAAAUAGUUAUCAUGAAAAAAGUGUGGUUCAAGAUACUAAUACUAUAGAAAUCAAAAUCUCAUUCGGCACAAUCAAGGGAAUAUUAUUAUAUACCCCCACUGCAAAGUUCCACUUCAAAAUACAACUGGUAAUUAACUUGUUGUAAAUGUUCAUUUUUAGAGCGGGAGCACGCGGCAUGAGGACGAAAUGAAUUGGUAAGUCUUAGUGUGUGUAGAGUGAGUAUGUAGCCAGGUAGCAGAGUUUCUUUUUUACAAUCGUCCAUUCUAUGGAAAUGGGUGCAAAUAUUGUACCAUAACAGUGUCGAGGAGAACCUUGGCUUCAAUGUUGGUGUUGAAGUGGUCACGAACAGGCUGAAAAAUCGAAAGCCGUAUUAGCAUAACCAAAUCUAUACAUGAAUAAAUAUGAGGCAUUGUAAAUUAUAUCUAUAAAAGAUGAACUUGACUGAAAACAAUAAAAAGGUUUCUAGAUUCAAAAUCGCUUCACUAGGACACAUGAUUGACACCAAACAAUAAAAGCAAUACAUUAGUACUAUUUGUCAGGAAGGAAUGACACAAACUGAGAAACGUAGUGAUGCAAUGAUAGAAUAAAUAACAACAGAAGCUGUCUCAAGCAUUACAAAAUCACAAUACAAUGGACUAAACAAUUAAUUAUGAGAAACGUAGUGCUCAAUGAACUAAAACAGCAAACGAAAGCUGGUAAUGCUCAAAGAGUGCAUAAGUUAAUGACUAGUGAAGAAGUGCACGACAAUAUUGGAAAAAUAUGUGAAAAAACUGUACCUUCAAUAUUUCAUUGAUUGCUUUAGCCAAAGAAGUUUUAACGUCAGCGGGAUGCAAAGCACCACUCGUAUAAUCAACAAUGAGUUCAUCCAUGCUUAAAAAUGUUCUGUUUAAAAACAAUCAUUGUUAUAACUCCACAGAAAAAAAAAAUCUCAAUAGUACAGAAUUUUCAACAUAGAUAACUUAGAGGGAUGACCAUGUGCUUAUUCAACAACCAUAGUUCAUGGUGGCAUAGACAUCUAUAUAUUAUCAUAUUAUAUGGUUCUAUCUGAUAAUGUACUCUAAAAAUAUGAGUUUCAAACUUUUGGUGGUCCAAGAAAAGAAUAUUACUUGUUACCGCCAUUUCUUUCUCUCCGAACCACCUCAAACUUGUCAAACCAAGGAAAAACAAUGUAUUUGAUGUACUCUAGGCAUGGAUUUCCGUCAACAAUGUUGGAAUUUUCAUCAACAGUGUUGGGAGGAGGAGGAGGAGGGCAGAAAGCUUGAUUUAUCUUCAAUUUUACCUGAGCCUGCAAUAAAUUUGGGUACGAACAAUAUCAGCUUAGAAAAAGGGCAAAACUUGACAAAUAAAUGUUAGUCUAUAAAUCCAAAGUUAAAUCAGAUUGAUAGAGAGAUAACUUAAUGACUACAUGCCAUCUAAAAGAUCAAUUGAACCACAAACAUAAACUAUAAACAAAUGAUAAAUACAGUGCAAACCAAACUAAAGUGAUAGAACCUUUUUAAAAUAAUGGAAAUCCCAUGUUGGAUGGAAGACAAAGACCAUACCCCACAAUACUAUUCCAAGUCGAGCGGUAUCUUUCAAAAUUCAAACACCCCAAAUGAGGUUGAAUGGACUAAAUAGGUGUCAUAAGUUUUGGAAACAAAUAAAGAUUAUUAGUGAAGAGAAAAUGACAUGAGAACCUCAUCAUCUUCCAUAAAGAUGGCCGAUGUUGGAUCACUUUUUGACAUCUUCUCCUGGCCUUGUUUGAAACCGGGGAGCAUAUCUGUGGUUUAUGUUAGGGAACAAAUCUUUUUGUACAGCCUGGCAAUGGACCACUAUUUCAGAAUUCUAAUACCAUAAUCACAAAGGCACAUAUAUCAGCGAUAAUAAGAAGAAAAACACGAUACAGAAAAAACAUUUCACAGCAGAUCAGGAUACGAUGUGACAGAAUAAUUGGUUUGUUCUUCCUUUUGAUGUCAUCGCAGUAUUCCCUUGCUAACAUGUUUACCUUCCUUUGGUCCAUGCCCAACUGACAUAUGUCUGCCUGCACACGGCAACGGACAAGAGAAAAUGAGUCACAAUCCAGAAAUCUGGAAUAAAAGUAUACCACACUACAAAAUCGGGUGAAAUCAGCAAAUAUCAGUAACCUUAUUCCUACUUUGAUUUUACAGAGGAUUGCUUACAAUAUAAUAUACUAACCUUCAGGAAGAAUAUGUCAGCACACUGCAUGCAAGGAUAGAAGAUCUGUGCAGCAGUUAGGUCCUCACUGUCAGCGCGGCCCAUAAUCGUACAACACCUGUGUGCGCAGUAAUUAAGGAGAAAAAUGAGAUAACUAAUCUAUAUUGGAUAGAGUUUAAAGCUUUUGAGCCAAGAAUCAUUUGAAUGUGUAUGCAAUAUAUAUAAGUGGUUGUACCUUGUUAUUCGUUUGACUUUAUUUCUCCUGGCAAUGUCCAUUACAAGUGGCCAGUAUUCACUUGCACGCUUAUUGAUUUCUUCCGAAGACCAUAGGAAUUCAACGCCGUCGAGGUUCAUACCGGCCGCUUUCCAUAUUUCGAUCAUGUAGCGCCCGACGGCCUGGAUUUUCUCCAGGUCGCCGCCCAUCUUGUUGUUUAGUUGCGCAAACCAGUCUGCUAUCCAGAUUUUCACUUUACAUCCCGCUCUGAUCAUCUUGUUAACGUUAAUUGUCUUGACAAUACCCUGUGGAUAGAAUAUAUGAGAAUGUAUAUGUCCUGCUCAGGUCUUGCAAGUUGAACGAUUUGUGUGCCUGUAACGAUGCAGCUCUUAAAACCCCCUAUAACGAUGCUAUAUCACGCUAAAACAAAGCUAUAUCACGUUAUAGCCAACGACUGUACACGAUUUCAUUUAGCGAGACAUUGCUCAAAAGGAAGCUAUAACGCUCUAUAUUUUUUUUUUCAUUAGGGCUCACACAUCGCUAUAAAGUAACCAAUCUCAUUGUGUUGUACUGGCAUGGAUCAUCAUUGUGGAAGCACACCCAAGAAUUGCUAAGGCACGUACGUGUAAGAUUAAAUGUUUAUUUAUACUAGCUUGUGUAUUCUUAUUAGUACCACAAAGGAGAAGUGAACUCACUAAUAUUUCUAGUCUUGGUUAUUAUCCAUGACCAACUACGAACUCACUAGUGAUUUUCAGGUGUUUUGAGUUUCUUAUUCUUCUUGGGUUACUAAGCAGUUCAACCAAUAACCACUAGCAAGAUCUGUAAUCAGCACAUGCAUAUAUAGCAGGAAAAACUAAGCUAGGCAUGCAAUAAUGAAUAAUCGUACGUGUGCAAACACCCAGCUAGCUAGGUGAUAUCAUGCUAAGUACGUGCUAACCUUGUUGAAAUUAAUUUGGGUAUAAUUAAAUUAGCUGGUCAAGGAAUCCUCCUGGACGAUCCCAAGUUAUGAGGGGAGAAGACAAGAGAAUACGGCGUGGAAGGGAACCUGGGCGAUGUGCAUGCGGCCGGAGGGCUCGAAUCCGUCGUAGCAGACGGGCACGGGCUUGUGCUGCAGCAGCUGCCUGAGCUCGUCUUCCUGGAUGCACUCCUCCCCGAUGCUCAUCAGCAGGUCGAGCCGCUCGUCCAGGCUCAUGCUCAUCCCAGCCAUGGCUUCGGUGCCGGCGGCGGAGGAGGAAGCGUCGGUCGCCGCGGAAGGAUCCAUUGACGAGGCGUCGGGUCGUCGGGAGAGGCGAUAGAAGGUGCCGGCUAAGGUUUUACUUAUAUACUAUUACGUUUUCCUAUCUCGAUCGAGAGACUGGAAGUCGUACGUUCCUUCCGUGGCCGCUACUUCAUAUCCUAAAAAAAGUUGAUGCCGGGAACACGUGGGUCCCUGCUUGAAAACCAGUCAUGCAAAUAAAAAAGAAGAUCGUUUUCCUUCCCGACUAAAUAGAAACUUUACGGUAAUGCUAACUGGCGAACGUUCGCGGGAAAGGACUCCCAAUGAAUGAGCUGUCGUUCGAUUGAGACUCGACCAACAGAAAAUACAUUCAAAUCCUCGAGGGUGUCGAAGUCUUCUUCAUACAUUCAUCGGGCAUGCGCACGUGAGCAAAUCAUGCUGCCGCCUCUGAACCUCCGUCUCAACAAAUCAAAUUUGUUUAAACCCAGGAAUUUGUAAAAACAGCAACAAGGAAGUCAUAAUGUAGACCAGAAGAUGCCAGCAGCCACGAUCGGCGUAGCAAAUGACCGCCUCAGGGAAAAAGAAAGAAAGAGAGGGUCUUUAGAAAGCCCCGGUUCCGGCAAAACAUAGUCGGAGAACACAAAUCUCUCUCGCUCCCCUACGAGGCCAUGUUUGACCAACCUUAAUUUGUCGGAACUGAAGAUAGAGGACCAGCACGCACACCCACGUUUUCCACUCCACAAACAGCACAACCGAGACAAACCUGCAGAAGAGAAUGCGGGACCCCGAAGAACCAGAUCUGAGGGCACACAAUCUUCAACACGCCUCCUGACGAUACGAAGAAGUAUCGCCGAAACAAGGAUGAGGGGGGAAGAUUUUAUUCCACGCGGACGGCCUCACCAUCAUCUCACCACUGACGAACGGAGACCUACGUAAGGCCCAAAAGAGGAGACCUAUUGUUUCCACCGGUAGAUCGGGGACUCCCCGCACACCCUCGCCAAUGGAGUCAGAGAGGAGGAGGCGGUGAUCUACCGGCGAAGGAGGAUGACGAUGAUGACGGGGGAGAAACCCUAGGUUGUAUUGGGGAUGGGGCUGCGUUGCGUGAUCUUAAACGACACACCUUGUUUUUUUUAAGAAAGUAUGAUUUUUAAAUCAGGGGGAAAAAAUCUCUAUUACUUGUAUUCCCAACCCACCAGUGGGAUCCAACGUGGAUGACUCCUGACGGAAUGUUGCUGCCGCCUAAGGUUCUUCUCUUCAUCGACUAGCUCCUUUUUUUUUGGAACUUUCAUCGACUAGCUCCUAGUCAUAGUCAUGAAGAAAACGAUGCAUGUGCGUAGUCAUGGGACUUUUUUUUUAGGCAGUCAUGGGACUAUUGCACUGGCACGAUACGAUACAGUGUUGAUACUAAAUUCCAUCUACCGGCCCAAAUAAAGAUACUUUUGUUAAAUUAACUGGGCCCGCUCCUUCCAGCCCAGUUAAAAGGUCGAGGCAGAAGGCCAUGGAGCGUCUAACACAGUUUUUCCUUUCUUUUGUUCACGUUAAAAUAAAAUUUGAAUUUUCUGCAGCAAAACAAAUAAAUAAAUAAAUUGGAGAUGGGAGGUAUCGAUCCCCCUGCCUUUUAUUAGCGUCAUAAAUGCUCUACCAUUUGAGCUACAUCCCCAUUGAUAUCCAUCUAAUUAAUGAAAACAAUUAGUAGUAUCGAUCAAUUAGCAUUAAUAAAUACUACAGAUGGUUCCUUUUUUCUAUAUAAAGAUAUACACACGGAAACUAAAACUGAUUUUUUUAAAGAAAAUAACAGCAAAAAUUCCAGGCUCCAGAAAAACGGAAUAUACACUUAUAUCAAAGAAGAAGGGCUUCCAAGUCAUCUCUAGACAAGUAAGCUCCCAGUGGAUUCACAAAGAAAAAAUAAAUUCACCUUCGGAGCUACUGGGCAUAGUCCGUGUCAACAGAGGCGGCACCAACGGCGAUGACAUUAUCGCCGGUUUUCACCUCCUCAGCCUUUCCCAGCAUUCCUCUCCUAUUCUCAGCCGGCGACACUAUGCCCUAGAACUCCUCGCUCACGAGCAGCACGGCCAACAGGUCGCCCCGCCUGGCACGGUCGAGCUGGACAAAGUACAACGUGUCCUCAUCCAAAUUGUUACCCGUGGCAUACUUGGCCUGCACCGUUUCGUCCUCUUCGUCCUCAACAUAUGCUUUGUAUGUGAGCCGAAGGAGGACCUCGCCGGAUGACCGCUUCCUGAAGAAGCCCACCCUCCGUAUUACAUGACAAUCUUUGAGUGAUGGUAGAACUUUACCCGAUUCCAAAUUGGUUCUCCUGGUAGGCCAGCCACAAUUGUUUGACAGUCGUUGUACUCUUGCUCUUUAUGACUUGAUCACCAAGAAUCAUCAACAUGAAAGAGAGGCUGCAACUGAAAUGAAACGUCUAAACUUUCGCCAACAUGAAAGAGAGGUUUGUGAGAAACAUGAAUUAAGUUUUUAUUCCCUUUUUCAGCUUACGUAAGUGUGGUUCAAUAGAAGCACCUUGGUAAGCGGAAUUUUGGCCCAGGCGCCCAAGUGUUGCGUAACCGUUCGGCCGGAUUCUCCGCGCUAGUUAGACGUUAAAAAUAAUUAGUGCCGCAUGCGGGAAAGGUUGGGUUUUCCUAUGAGUGGACCCUUCGACUGUAUUUCCAUUGAUAUACUAGUACUCUAAUAUAGACCUUAGCACAAAUGUCUCAACCAUAAUAUCCAAGAACAAUAAGGACUGGGCUAGAGCUAUAACUAUUUCAGUCCUUAGAGGGGUGGAUGGGAGCAGUCUUUUUUAACCCAGCUCAAAGUUUGCCUACCUAUCGUACUCUAAUAGUCUAACUGCAGAAAAUUGUUAGAGCACUUUCUUGAUAUAUUUUUUUGCGGGAAAACUUUGAAUCUAUUCAUUUUCAAUCAUGGCAGUACAACAAAUCGUUAGAAAUAAAAUAUUGGAUCCACAGAAAGGAAUUGGAUCUUGACUCUAAACUAAACUAGAAGACACACCGCGCGUGGCGGCGGGAAUUUGUAAAAAGUGACUGUAAUGCGCAUGGAAAAUCUGAAGGGGAAGCUAUCUAUAAAACAUAAUAUAAUUAUAAAUAAUAUUUAGGUUCAGGAUCACAUCUAUUAGGACAUCAAAAAUGCAUGUCUUAUUAUUUUGUACUGACCACAACAAAGUAUAUAGAGAACAUAAUAUAUUUUUCCAUCUUAUCGAGUAACUGCCUACUGCCUAAUAAGAAUAAGAAUAUAAAUUAGAUGCUAUAGUUAUGGCAUAGCAGUUGUGUUUCAGUUCACCAACUUUGAGGAUGUAAGGUACUAUAUCAUAGUGAUGCUUCAUGGGUGUAGUAAUGCGAGAUUGUUCUGUAAUGUAACUUCUGCAAUAAUAUGUUAUAAUCAAAACUAAUGUGAUGAUUUAAGAGAGGCAAAAGUAUUUACAUUAGUCCUGUCACAAUGCCAAAGGUAUAUAAUACACUCAGACAGAUUUUGCAAUUGAACCAAUGGUGUCACUACAAAUGAAGAAUACAAUUUUGAAGAAAAUUAUCAAACAUAUAUAGUCCAGAUUACACACGCCUGUAGGUGCACAAAUGAAUGAAGGUGCUCCAGUGUAGAAACGCAACAUCGUAUGGCAGAAAAAUAAUAAUCAAUCCAAUAUGAGUAUAACAACCAAUCAUCAUCAUACAAAAAGGGCUGGUGCAUAGUUACCUCGUGUCGAAAAAGGUAUAAUUACCAAUCUGGCACUGCUAGCUGUAAGUCAGUUAGGAAGAUAUAAAGAUAAUCCACUUGAAAAUCCAAGGAAGUAAACCCCGCAAAAAAAAAAUCCAUGUACGUAUUUAAUGAACCAAAAUAGAAUGAUGGCAUCGCUAUGUUUUUCAUUGCAGAGAAAUACAUGUGCAAUCGCUAUGUUUUCCAUUGCAUACAAAUACAUGAGCCGAUUAGCAAAAGGUAAGAAAACCUGACCCUCUUUCAGUGCAAAAUCAGUCCAUAUACUAUUGGGCCGUACGCGAGCACUGGCCGGGGUACUCGCGCUCGGCGUCGCCCACCCACGCUUAGGCCUACCGGCGCUGGCGUCCGCGCCCGUGGAGCGGUGGAGGCCGUAGAGAGCUCUGUAGAAGGCUUGGUAUGGAAAGUAUAGAUACAGGAAAGAUGGCAGAAUCGGUUGGGAUUUUUGUAGCGACUCGAUGGAGAUUUAUUUGUCCAGGGAGAUGAAGGUACCUAGUCGUCCGAGCAUAAAUUCUCAAUCGUAAUGGAAGCAGUUUCCUUGUUCACGUCCCGUUAAUUCUCGCAUCGUAACCUAGCUAGCAUCAGUUUCCUAUAUUAAUGGCUAAUCUUCUGUGGAACCAACGCAUGCAAGUAUUGAUUACCCUUUGUUAUGCCUGGCAAGCAAUGGACUCUUGCGUGGAGAGUAUAGCGACUGACCUUUUUUUUCUACUUAUCUGUCACGCGGGAGGCUACCAAAAGUUAUCGCGAUAGUUAAGCUGAAUGGGCUGCAUGACUCACGGCUGAUUGGUGGAGAACUGCUGACGUGGCAGCCUGCUGUUGUGGAUAGGCUGCAUGUUUAGAGAAAUCAAAUGGUGGGGUGCUCCUAUUUAGAUAUAGAAGAUAUGCAGAUUGCAAAUCACAGACAAUUGAAAGCAAAGAAUCAUUACCGAACAAUAAAAAGCUAAGAUUCCUACCAGCAACCAGCAUCACUGAUGGCUCCUAUUACCCAAAAAAAAAAUCUCUUCCCCACAAAAUAUAUAUAAGCCAUAUAAAAGUAGAUUAAAUUUAUAGAGAAAAUUCUCAAUAUCCAUAAUACCAAAUCAAUAUAAUUAUAUCCAAUAAAUGUGUUUUCAUGAUUUAUCUAUCUGGUAUUUAGGUAUUUUUUGAAGAAACAACUUGGUCAUAUUUUUUAAUGUUUGAGUUGGCACCAAAUGACAUGCCCAAUAUUUUUGGAAAGAAAUGAUUAAGAUUUAAGUUAGAAAAAAAUGAUUGCACUAUUAGUUUAAAGGUAGAUCUUUCUAACCAAUCAAUAUAUCUAAAAGAAAAAAUAGGUAAGUGGUUAAAAACCCCACAAAAAAUUUCUUCCAUAUCGAGGCAAGUUUGUGCUUUGAUCAACCAUCUCAGAUGAUAUUUCUUAUUCUAGCAAAAUGAUAUUUCAUGAAGUACUAUUGGCAAGUAUGUUGCAAUAGGUGUUUUUUUCAUGAGCGGUCCCAAAAACAUUUUUGACGAGGUAGGAGGGGGAAGACAAUGAUAUGAAUUGUUUUUAAAAUAAAAUCAGGAGAUUUUCAUAUGUUUUCUCAAAUUUUAAACGGAUUUUAUUGAAUUUCUAGAAAUUUAGUAGGUGCAUGGCCUGCACAUGGGUCCACGCCUGGUUUUCUUUCAUUCUGCCCAGCAUAUGUAUUUUAUAUUUUGUGUCUGCAUAUAACUGUUUUUAGGAUACAAUAUUUUUUGUUGCAGUUGUGCUUUUCUACAAGUAUUUAUUUUAGAAGCUUCUAGAACUUAGUCGCACUGGCAUUUGUUGAGGGUUUUUUUUCGAGAAUCAAUUUUUUUUUUGAAGGGGUAGGUAGUCGCACUGGCAUGAUACGCUACAAUGUUGACACUGAAAUUCCACCUUCCGGCCCAAAUAAGGAUUCUUUUGUUGAAGUGGUUGGGCCUCCACCUUCCAGUUACAAAUUCCACCUUCCGGCCCAAAUAAGGAUCUCUCUCUCUCUCUCUCUCUCUCUCUCUCUCUCUCUUGCCGGUAAAAUAUUCUUCAGCAAAAAGAUUAUCAAAAUAAUAAAAUAAAAUAAGAAAAAUAAUAUGGAGAUGGGAGGUAUCGAUUCCCCUGCCUUUUAUAAGCCGUAUAAAUGCUCUACCAUUUGAGCUACAUCCCCAUUGAUAUCAAUCACAUUAAUUAGAGCAAUUAGUAUUAACUAGUUAUGAUUAAUAAAUAUGUACGAAAGACAAACGGAUGGUUCCUUUCACCCAUGCAAAAAUGGAGAUAUACAUACUUCAUACGGAAACUAAAACAAACGAGCUAAAAGUUCUUUUAAAGGAAAAAAAAUUAGAUAUUAAAUAGGUGCAUGGCCCCCACAUGGGUCCGCGCCUGGUUUUCUUGCAUUUUUUGCACAUGCAUUCUUUGUUUUCUUGCAUGAGUUAUUUUUAUUAUGCGUUUUAAACCGGAAACAUUUUUACAUAGGACUUGUUGUGAUCAUCUUCCAUAGUCUGUCACAUUGAAUGAUUUGUCGCAUAUGCAUUUACAUUGUGUUUUUGUAUAUCUGUAUUAUUGGUUGUUGCGGUUUUUUUUUUUAGAAACUUCUUUUAGGGUUUUUUGAGAAACUUGCAGAGGUUAGCCAAUGUUGUGGUGAGCAACCUAAAAACAAACAAAAAAUGUUAGGCACCAAAUUCCACCUGAGGUCGAAUUACACUUUAUUUUCGAAAGUGGAUCAGCCUCCACCUUCAGCCCAGCUAAAGAAGGCAGAAGCCCAAGCAGCGUGUCAACACUGUUUUCACUCUUUUUUGUAAGGUAUAAAAAGAAUAUCCUUUAAAAAAGCAAGAUGCAAAAAGUAUAUAUAAGAUGCAACAUAAGUGCUCUACCAUUUGAGCUACAUCCCCAUUCACAUUCAUUUAACUAAUCCAACCAGUUAAUAACUAAUUAAUUCUAAUUAACAAAUAAUAAUCAAACCUGCCCCAGUUCCCAACCACAAAUUACAGAUGGUCUCUUCCUUCCAUACAGAAAAAAAAAAGAUAACCAUAAGAAAAAUACAGUAACCUCACAAAAAAUCAUGCCAUUUUCUGAUUACUCUGCUAUAACAAGGAAUAUACAAUUGUCAAAGCGAUGCAAAAAUUUCUCCUCCGUGGAAUGAGUGCGAAAAUCGCGAAAAUCGAAAAAACGGUAGACGCAUCUUCGGUGGAUCAAGUCUGAUGAGAAGAUAACCAUUCUAUGGGUUAAAGUACCCCGAGCCACCAAUGUUGGAGGAGACGAGCAGCAUCACGCUGGUUAUGGCAGCAAGCCAGACCAGGGCCCUAUC
Molecule: long non-coding RNA, 32308 nt
Filed under: Triticum aestivum (bread wheat)
Lineage: Eukaryota; Viridiplantae; Streptophyta; Magnoliopsida; Poales; Poaceae
Description: long non-coding RNA (TAES_LNC012759)
Rfam family: MIR1120/MIR1122 microRNA precursor family (bases 7873-7959)
Source: RNAcentral